CCUACGGGGCGCAGCAGUGGGGGAUAUUGCACAAUGGGGGGAACCCUGAUGCAGCGACGCCGCGUGGGUGAAGAAGCGCCUCGGCGCGUAAAGCCCUGUCAGCAGGGAAGAAAAUGACGGUACCUGAAGAAGAAGCCCCGGCUAACUACGUGCCAGCAGCCGCGGUAAUACGUAGGGGGCAAGCGUUAUCCGGAUUUACUGGGUGUAAAGGGGGCGCAGACGGCGAUGCAAGCCAGGAGUGAAAGCCCGGGGCCCAACCCCGGGACUGCUCUUGGAACUGCGUGGCUAGAGUGCAGGGGAGGCAG
Molecule: ribosomal RNA, 305 nt
Filed under: uncultured bacterium
Lineage: Bacteria
Description: bacterial SSU rRNA
Rfam family: Bacterial small subunit ribosomal RNA
Source: RNAcentral